Molecule: small nucleolar RNA, 112 nt
Organism: Cephalotus follicularis
Lineage: Eukaryota; Viridiplantae; Streptophyta; Magnoliopsida; Oxalidales; Cephalotaceae
Rfam family: Plant small nucleolar RNA R71
About the family: R71 is a member of the C/D box family of snoRNAs containing the C (UGAUGA) and D (CUGA) box motifs. Multiple nearly identical copies of this snoRNA have been identified in Arabidopsis, and it is thought to function as a 2'-O-ribose methylation guide for 18S ribosomal RNA.
Source: Rfam
ACGGCAUGAUGGGGACAUUUUUUGAUGAGGUCCUUUAAUCUUUCCCAUGACUCAUGGAACUGCUCACCAUCUUGCUAUGAGAAGCUACUGAGAGAUCUCCUUAUCUGGUUGG